AACGAACGCUGGCGGCAUGCCUAACACAUGCAAGUCGAACGAGACCUUCGGGUCUAGUGGCGCACGGGUGCGUAACGCGUGGGAACCUGCCCUUAGGUUCGGAAUAACUCCCCGAAAGGGGUGCUAAUACCGGAUAAUGUCUUCGGACCAAAGAUUUAUCGCCUUUGGAUGGGCCCGCGUUGGAUUAGCUAGUUGGUAGGGUAAAAGCCUACCAAGGCGACGAUCCAUAGCUGGUCUGAGAGGAUGAUCAGCCACACUGGGACUGAGACACGGCCCAGACUCCUACGGGAGGCAGCAGUGGGGAAUAUGGGACAUGGGGCGAAAGCCUGAUCCAGCAAGGCCGCGUGGGUGAUGAAGGCCUUAGGGUUGUAAAGCUCUUUUACCCGGGAUGAUAAUGACAGUACCGGGAGAAUAAGCUCCGGCUAACUCCGU
RNAcentral lists this ribosomal RNA (432 nucleotides) under uncultured bacterium. RNAcentral's name for it is "partial 16S ribosomal RNA". It matches the Rfam family "Bacterial small subunit ribosomal RNA", at positions 29 to 506 of the family's 1533-position model. The record is from RNAcentral.